GACGAACGCUGGCGGCGUGCUUAACACAUGCAAGUCGAACGGAAAGGCCCUGCUUUUGUGGGGUGCUCGAGUGGCGAACGGGUGAGUAACACGUGAGUAACCUGCCCUUGACUUUGGGAUAACUUCAGGAAACUGGGGCUAAUACCGGAUAGGAGCUCCUGCUGCAUGGUGGGGGUUGGAAAGUUUCGGCGGUUGGGGAUGGACUCGCGGCUUAUCAGCUUGUUGGUGGGGUAGUGGCUUACCAAGGCUUUGACGGGUAGCCGGCCUGAGAGGGUGACCGGCGACAUUGGGACUGAGAUACGGCCCAGACUCCUACGGGAGGCAGCAGUGGGGAAUAUUGCACAAUGGGCGGAAGCCUGAUGCAGCAACGCCGCGUGCGGGAUGCCGGCCUUCGGGCUGUAAACCGCUUUCGCCUGUGACGAAGCGUGAGUGACGGUAAUGGGUAAAGAAGCACCGGCUAACUACGUG
Molecule: ribosomal RNA, 468 nt
Filed under: uncultured bacterium
Lineage: Bacteria
Description: partial 16S ribosomal RNA
Rfam family: Bacterial small subunit ribosomal RNA
Source: RNAcentral